Molecule: ribosomal RNA, 270 nt
Filed under: uncultured archaeon
Lineage: Archaea
Description: partial 16S ribosomal RNA
Rfam family: Archaeal small subunit ribosomal RNA
Source: RNAcentral
CAGCACCUCAAGUGGUCAGGAUGAUUAUUGGGCCUAAAGCAUCCGUAGCCUGCUUUGUCAGUUUUCGGUUAAAUCCAUACGCUCAACGUAUGGGCUGCCGGGAAUACUGCAAAGCUAGGGAGUGGGAGAGGUAGACGGUACUCGGUAGGAAGGGGUAAAAUCCUUUGAUCUAUUGAUGACCACCUGUGGCGAAGGCGGUCUACCAGAACACGUCCGACGGUGAGGGAUGAAAGCUGGGGGAGCAAACCGGAUUAGAUACCCGUGUAGUCC